UACGGGAGGCAGCAGGCUAGAAAAUUGGGCAAUGGGGGAAACCCUGACCCAGUGACGCCGCGUGCAGGAAGAAGCCCUUCGGGGUGUAAACUGCUGUCGUGCGGGACGAAGGGUCCAUAGGCGAACAGUCUAUGGGCUUGACGGUACCGCAGGAGGAAGCCCAGGCUAACCUCGUGCCAGCAGCCGCGGUAAUACGGGGUGGGCGAGCGUUGCCCGGAAUUACUGGGUUUAAAGGGGGUGUAGGCGGUCCGGAGAGUCAGGUGUGUAAUCCAACCGCUCAACGGUUGGGCUGCACCUGAUACUUCCGGGCUAGAGGGCGGUAGAGGAGAGCGGAACUCCCGGUGUAGCGGUGAAAUGCGUAGAUAUCGGGAGGAACGCCGGUGGCGAAGGCGGCUCUCUGGGCCGUUCCUGACGCUGAGGCCCGAAAGCUGGGGGAGCGAAAGGGAUUAGAUACCCCUGUAGUCCCAGCNGUAAACGA
This 478-nucleotide ribosomal RNA is filed under the name uncultured bacterium. RNAcentral describes it as "bacterial SSU rRNA". It matches the Rfam family "Bacterial small subunit ribosomal RNA", at positions 340 to 809 of the family's 1533-position model. The record is from RNAcentral.